This 31-nucleotide non-coding RNA is filed under the name Mus musculus (house mouse). Lineage: Eukaryota; Metazoa; Chordata; Mammalia; Rodentia; Muridae. The record is from RNAcentral.
UGGCGUGCUUGUUGACAAUGGCUACAUUGUU